AACUAACGCUGGCGGCGUGCCUAACACAUGCAAGUCGUACGAGAAAGUCGGCUUCGGCCGAUGAGUAAAGUGGCGCACGGGUGAGUAACGCGUGGGUAAUCUGCCCCCCGGUCAGGAAUAACCCGCCGAAAGGCGGGCUAAUACCCGAUAACACUGACACUCUGCGGAGUGUCUUUCAAAGAAGGCCUCUGUUUACAAGCUUUCACCGGAGGAUGAGCCCGCGUACCAUUAGCUAGUUGGCAGGGUAAUGGCCUACCAAGGCAACGAUGGUUAGCUGGUCUGAGAGGAUGACCAGCCACACUGGAACUGAGACACGGUCCAGACUCCUACGGGAGGCAGCAGUGAGGAAUCUUGCGCAAUGGGGGAAACCCUGACGCAGCAACGCCGCGUGAGUGAGGAAGGCUUUCGGGUCGUAAAGCUCUGUCGGAUGGGAAGAAAUGGUUGGAAGCUAAUACCUUCCAUCCUUGACGGUACCAUCAGAGAAGCACCGGCUAACUCCGUGCC
This 504-nucleotide ribosomal RNA is filed under the name uncultured bacterium. Its description in RNAcentral is "bacterial SSU rRNA". It matches the Rfam family "Bacterial small subunit ribosomal RNA", at positions 29 to 509 of the family's 1533-position model. The record is from RNAcentral.